AUGCAAGCCUCUUUUCACAGUCCUGAAAGGGCAAUUUUCAACAGCAAGAUGCAUUCAACACUCAAACAUAAAAUGACUCAAGCACAUGUGUUAGCCCUGCCUGACUUUGCAAAACAAUUUAUAGUAGAUGCAGAGACAUGUGCUUAUGGUAUUCGCGCAGUCCUCAUGCACGGUGGCAGGCCUAUCUCUUUUUUCAGCAAAAUAAUUUUUCCUAGGGCAUCUGCUCUCUCCACUUGUGAUAAAGAGGCAAUGGCCAUCAUUGAAGCAUUAACAAAAAUGGAAACACUAUUUUGCUACUUCUUCCUUGAUCAUCAGAACAGUUCAACAGAGUCGCAAGUACAUCCAAGAGCAGAAACUGAGAGAGGGCAUUCUACACAAGCUAUUGGUCAAAUUACUGGGCUUAUACCAUUAAAUAUAAAAAAGGCAACAAAACAGAGUAGCCGGUGCUCUCUCUAG
RNAcentral lists this ribosomal RNA (456 nucleotides) under Triticum aestivum (bread wheat). RNAcentral's name for it is "partial small subunit ribosomal RNA". Lineage: Eukaryota; Viridiplantae; Streptophyta; Magnoliopsida; Poales; Poaceae. The record is from RNAcentral.